AACUCCAAACCCAAGCCGCGAAACUUCACCUACGAUCAUGUGGCGGACAUGGACGUGACUCAGGAAUACAUGUUCUCCUUAGUCGCUAAAAUAUCGUGGAGUCGUGCACGCAUGGUUAAAAUGGCACGAUAUUCGCAUAGUGAGUCUCCAGACUGUACAGAACAACAUGCAGUUUCUUUACUCGCAAUAAUCAGUCAGCUUCAAAACUAUAUAUAUAUCAAACGAAAUCUGGUGUUAGAGUGAUUGAUCUUUUUCCUCCUUAUUUUCCCGAUGAUGCAGUGGACAGACGGGUUCAGGGAAGACCUUUACCAUGCUGGGGCCGAACGAGCUGACGGAUUUCUCUGAUCAGCUGCGUGAUGUUAUUCCUCAUAGCAUUGAGCAUUUGUAAUCCCUCAUGAGCAGAGUGGGGGCGGAGGUGAGCUGUUACAUUCAACCUCACAUCAAACACGCUACCUGC
Long non-coding RNA from Ictalurus punctatus (channel catfish), 457 nucleotides. The record is from Ensembl. NCBI's taxonomy places the organism in Eukaryota, Metazoa, Chordata, Actinopteri, Siluriformes, Ictaluridae.